GUACACUCCUACGGGAGGCAGCAGUGGGGAAUAUUGCACAAUGGGCGCAAGCCUGAUGCAGCCAUGCCGCGUGUAUGAAGAAGGCCUUCGGGUUGUAAAGUACUUUCAGCGGGGAGGAAGGCGAUAAGGUUAAUAACCUUGUUGAUUGACGUUACCCGCAGAAGAAGCACCGGCUAACUCCGUGCCAGCAGCCGCGGUAAUACGGAGGGUGCAAGCGUUAAUCGGAAUUACUGGGCGUAAAGCGCACGCAGGCGGUCUGUCAAGUCGGAUGUGAAAUCCCCGGGCUCAACCUGGGAACUGCAUUCGAAACUGGCAGGCUAGAGUCUUGUAGAGGGGGGUAGAAUUCCAGGUGUAGCGGUGAAAUGCGUAGAGAUCUGGAGGAAUACCGGUGGCGAAGGCGGCCCCCUGGACAAAGACUGACGCUCAGGUGCGAAAGCGUGGGGAGCAAACAGGAUUAGAAACCCCUGUAGUCCCAUGAU
This 479-nucleotide ribosomal RNA is filed under the name uncultured organism. RNAcentral describes it as "partial 16S ribosomal RNA". It matches the Rfam family "Bacterial small subunit ribosomal RNA", at positions 331 to 801 of the family's 1533-position model. The record is from RNAcentral.